AGCAGUAGCCGCGGGAAUACGUAGGGUGCGAGCGUUAAUCGGAAUUACUGGGCGUAAAGCGGGCGCAGACGGUUACUUAAGCAGGAUGUGAAAUCCCCGGGCUCAACCUGGGAACUGCGUUCUGAACUGGGUAACUAGAGUGUGUCAGAGGGAGGUAGAAUUCCACGUGUAGCAGUGAAAUGCGUAGAGAUGUGGAGGAAUACCGAUGGCGAAGGCAGCCUCCUGGGAUAACACUGACGUUCAUGCCCGAAAGCGUGGGUAGCAAACAGGAUUAGAUACCCCCGUAGUCCCUGUCUCUUAUAC
This 303-nucleotide ribosomal RNA is filed under the name uncultured bacterium. RNAcentral's name for it is "partial 16S ribosomal RNA". It matches the Rfam family "Bacterial small subunit ribosomal RNA", at positions 507 to 807 of the family's 1533-position model. The record is from RNAcentral.